CUAGUACUCCCUCUGUUCAGAAUUACUUGUCUCGUAUAUGGAUGUAUCUAGAAUUAAAAUACGUCUAGAUAUAUCCAUUUCUGCGACAAGUAAUUCCGAACAGAGAGGGUACAUG
This is a non-coding RNA of Triticum aestivum (bread wheat), 115 nucleotides long. The record is from Rfam. Lineage: Eukaryota; Viridiplantae; Streptophyta; Magnoliopsida; Poales; Poaceae.